CGAAGGGUGCAAGCGUUACUCGGAAUUACUGGGCGUAAAGCGUGCGUAGGUGGUGCGUUAAGUCUGUCGUGAAAGCCCCGGGCUCAACCUGGGAAUGGCGAUGGAUACUGGCGCGCUAGAGUGCGGUAGAGGAGAGUGGAAUUCCCGGUGUAGCAGUGAAAUGCGUAGAGAUCGGGAGGAACAUCAGUUGCGAAGGCGGCUCUCUGGACCAGCACUGACACUGAGGCACGAAAGCGUGGGGAGCAAACAGGAUUAGAUACCCUGGUAGUCCACGCCCUAAACGAUGCGAACUGGACGUUGGGAGCAAUUAGGCUCUCAGUGUCGAAGCUAACGCGUUAAGUUCGCCGCCUGGGGAGUACGGUCGCAAGACUG
RNAcentral lists this ribosomal RNA (372 nucleotides) under uncultured organism. RNAcentral describes it as "bacterial SSU rRNA". It matches the Rfam family "Bacterial small subunit ribosomal RNA", at positions 526 to 896 of the family's 1533-position model. The record is from RNAcentral.